GUGCUCACUUCAGCACAUAUACUAAAAUUGGAAUGAUACAGAGAAGAUUAGCAUGGUCCCUGCACAAGGAUGACAUGCAAAUUCAUGAAGCAUGCCAUAUUUUU
This 104-nucleotide small nuclear RNA is filed under the name Echinops telfairi (small Madagascar hedgehog). The record is from RNAcentral. Lineage: Eukaryota; Metazoa; Chordata; Mammalia; Afrosoricida; Tenrecidae.